Long non-coding RNA from Pezoporus flaviventris, 2058 nucleotides. RefSeq lists it as uncharacterized. The record is from RefSeq and is a predicted model, not a curated record. The transcript is spliced from 3 exons. Lineage: Eukaryota; Metazoa; Chordata; Aves; Psittaciformes; Psittacidae.
ACUGUGCAAUUCCAAGUAUGAAAUUACUAAUUAAAAUGUAUUCACAGCAAGGUUAUUUCUUGAAAUGAAAUAGUUGGGGCGGACACAGAACACUUGAGACUACAUUAGCCUUUCACCUAUCAAUGGAGAGACAGGAAAAAAAGAAAGAUCCUGAUUUCAAAUUAUUCUACUUUACUUGCAUGUUUGAAGAGUUAUGGGUGAGAGACUUGUGGUUUAUUACCAUACAACAAAACUAUUUCAUGAUAUUUCACCUUUCCACCAGCUCUCCAGAAGCAUGUUCAUUGUGGAAGUCUCAGAAUGGAGGAAAGGAAUUGCAGGGAAAAUGGUAGAAAGAUUGUUGAAAAACAUUAAGCUGAGAAGCUGCUGCUGUCCCAGAUGUGAAAAGCAGCAGUUGCAUUGAAAGCUCCUGCAACACAUCAUCUGGGUAUGUUCCCUGUCUGAGCAAAGCAUGUGCUUGCAAGUGGGAACCAAGUGUUUGAAUGGCAUCAAGGAGAGGGUGGAAAAGAGGCUGGGAGAGCAAGUGACAAGAGAGCAAGACACAGCAAGAGAGCUAACCCAAGGUGACCAAAGGGCUAUGCCACAGACCAUCAUACGCUCAGCAGUAAAGCUGCGGUUGGGAGUUCGCCAGGGUUUGCUGUUGUUCAGUGACUGGCUGGGCAGCAGUUAGCUGAUGGCAGCUGGAGGUUUCUGCAGGUUCAGAGGCUGGAUUCAAGCUGAAAGGAGAGACUUCCUGCAGAAGACUCAGCCCAGGGCCCUGAUAAUGCCGUUAUAGCAGGGGUAUUGAGGAGUCUUGAGCUGUUGGAGAUGGCCCUGUGUAUGUACUACACCCUGCAAUCUGCACCCAGGUUUUUCUGACAGGGAACAGUAUCUAGGCAAUCUCUCAUUGCUUGAUAUAGGCUCACCCAUCUUACAGGCUGCUUAAAAAUGCCAAAGCUGUUGCUAGAGCAGUGCUGAGUCUAAAGAACAAGACGGUAUAAGCAUGAUAUUUCAGCAUGUUCUCAUAGUGAUAUUAAGUGGAGUUACUCAGUUUACAGUGAGCUUGAAAUGAGGACAGGUCUCGUUCAGACAUGUCCAUAUACUCCUGUAAACACAAAGCCUGAGAUGCAGCCACGGAUCAAUAUGCCCUCAGUACGACUGGAAGUUUGCAGGAGUAGAUUAUGCUGUUCUUGCUGGAAAUGGAUAUUGAUUGCCUCUGGGAAUAGACAUGGGAUGAGGGACAGAAUGUUGCAUACGCGCCAAUUAAGAAACACAUCAGGGAUUGUUAAUCUCUGUCCCAGCCAGCUUUUUAGAAAUGCUUUUGAUGAAGAUGUAAUAAACACAAAGUGUCAGGGUCAAAAAUAGCAACAGCUGCUAUGAAAGAAAGGAGAAAGUAGUCUUUCUUUGCCACCUGAUAUCCUUGUUGCAACAGGCAAUCCAGUGAAAGCUCAAUCAGAUGAGUUUAUAAUGGGGUUGUCAAACCUGUGCACUGCACCCAUCAUGACUGUUCUGAUGGAAGUGGCUGCAGGGUUAAAUGAUAUUUUAAAGUGAUUUCUGUGCAGUAUUUAUUGCUUUAUUCGUAACAGAUUUAAGAUACAAUAUCUAAGUGUUCUCUUUUUGAAACAAAUCUAAGGAACGGCCUUACAUUGCUGCUAUCCUUUCACGUACACUUCAUAAAAUAAGUUGUACCUGUUGAAAAAUGAAUGAGCCUACUUCAUUAAAUAGUGGAGACAAAUAUAUAUCAAAUGAAAUCUUCAAAUUAGAAGAUGCUUCACAGAUGGCUUGUGGCUGGUCUCUUAAAAUUGUUAAGUUCAAGGUAGGCAAUUAGCUUCAAUACAUUUUUAUGAAGUAUUCAUGGAGUUAGAUUUUAUAGUAGCAUUAGUUUUCAUUUUACCUUAAUUUAUCAUCAGACACUUCACUCAGGGACACCAGGAACUUGCCUCUACCCCUUCCCUGCUUAGCAUCCUACCUGCUUAUUUUGGCAGCCUUGAAUACAUUAUUCUGUCAUCUGACACAAUGUCAAAUUGUUUCUGGUAUAAGCGGGGAUAGCAUGAGUGCAAAAACAAGUCCAACCUCCCUUUC